CGGGUUACGGACUACUCGUUAAUGGAUACUGUAAUAACUCUAGAGCUAAUACAUGCCACGAAGCCCUGACCCCGGGCUCCCUCGGGGAAUGGGUGCACUUAUUAGAACAGAAGCCAACCAGUCUCCGCGUGCAUUCCCUCCUUCGGGAGGUGUGUGCGCGGGCUGCAGCACUUCUGGUGACUCUGGAUAAUUGUUACAGAUCGCAGUCGGCUUUACGUCGGCGACGGGUCCUUCAAAUGUCUGCCCUAUCAACUUUCGAUGGUAGGUGACCUGCCUACCAUGGUGAUAACGGGUAACGGGGAAUCAGGGUUCGAUUCCGGAGAGGGAGCCUGAGAAACGGCUACCACUUCCAAGGGAGGCAGCAGGCGCGCAAAUUACCCACUCCCGGUACGGGGAGGUGGUGACGAAAAAUACCGAUGCGGGACUCAUUUACGAGGCUCCGUAAUCGGAAUGAGUGGACUCUAAAUCCUUUCACGAGGAUCAAUUGGAGGGCAAGUCUGGUGCCAGCAGCCGCGGUAACUCCAGCUCCAAUAGCGUAUAUAAAAGUUGCUGCAGUUAAAAAGCUCGUAGUUGGAUCUCGGUAGCAUUGUUGCCUGCUCAGUUGUCAUGCUCUGCGGCGUGCAUCACAUCGUGUGGGUCGGCUGUGCAUUGUCCACGCUCCUAUGGGGGCUGGGCGUGUGCGCUUGGCUUCAUCACGGUGGGUGUACACAAAAACCGCAGUGUAUUGAGCUGACGUGGCGAUGGUGCCACCUUUGAGCCAUGUCUGUGGUGUAACAGCCACAGGUGUAUGCUAGUGUCGGGCAGUGCUCUGCACCUGCAGUGGGGCCUAGCCGGCUCGCCUGCAUGCCAGUGGAUGCCCUUUAAAAGGUGUUCAUGGGCCGGAUGGCACGUUUACUUUGAACAAAUUUGAGUGCUCAAAUCAGGCCGAAUCGCCUUGAAAAGUUUUGCUUGGAAUAAUGGCAUAGGAAUUCGGUUCUAUUUAGGUGGUUUUCCGAAUCCGAACUAAUGAUCGAACAAGAAAUGGCCGGGUACUUUUGAUUUGUUCGACCUUAACGGGCAAAUUCUUGGUACGUUAUCCCUACGAACCAAAGGCCAAACCUUUCUUUAAACCAAGUUUUUUUUUGGCCUAUUACCGAAAAAACAAAUGUCCGGAAAAAAAACAAAAAUCUGGCCCAUUUUUUUUUCUUUAAAAAAAAACCCCUGGAACCCCCCGGGGGGGGGUUUUUUAAAAGUUUCCCCCCGGGGGGGGGCCCGGGGAAAACUUUUUAUUUUUUUGGGUUUCGGGGGGAGGAGGGGGGUUCCA
RNAcentral lists this ribosomal RNA (1303 nucleotides) under Rodentolepis nana. RNAcentral describes it as "partial small subunit ribosomal RNA". It matches the Rfam family "Eukaryotic small subunit ribosomal RNA", at positions 121 to 1138 of the family's 1831-position model. Lineage: Eukaryota; Metazoa; Platyhelminthes; Cestoda; Cyclophyllidea; Hymenolepididae. The record is from RNAcentral.